Molecule: ribosomal RNA, 254 nt
Filed under: uncultured bacterium
Lineage: Bacteria
Description: partial 16S ribosomal RNA
Rfam family: Bacterial small subunit ribosomal RNA
Source: RNAcentral
UACGGAGGGUGCGAGCGUUGUCCGGAAUCAUUGGGCGUAAAGAGCUCGUAGGCGGUGUGUCGCGUCGGUCGUGAAAACUUUCAGCUUAACUGGGAGCUUGCGGUCGAUACGGGCAUCACUGGAGUUCGGCAGGGGAGACUGGAAUUCCUGGUGUAGCGGUGAAAUGCGCAGAUAUCAGGAGGAACACCGGUGGCGAAGGCGGGUCUCUGGGCCUUGCCUGACGCUGAGGCGCGAAAGCUAGGGGAGCGAACAGG